UUCUCUGUAGUUCAGUCGCUAGAACGGCGGACUGUUAAUCCGUAUGUAACUGGUUCGAGUCCAGUCAGAGGAGCCA
RNAcentral lists this transfer RNA (76 nucleotides) under Escherichia coli. Its description in RNAcentral is "tRNA-Asn". It matches the Rfam family "tRNA". Rfam says of the family: Transfer RNA (tRNA) molecules are approximately 80 nucleotides in length. The record is from RNAcentral. Lineage: Bacteria; Pseudomonadati; Pseudomonadota; Gammaproteobacteria; Enterobacterales; Enterobacteriaceae.